UACAGAGGGGGCAAGCGUUGUUCGGAAUUACUGGGCGUAAAGGGCGCGUAGGCGGCCUUCUAAGUCAGACGUGAAAUCCCCGGGCUCAACCCGGGCGAACUGACGUCUGAGACUGGAAGGCUCGAAUCCGGGAGAGGGAUGCGGAAUUCCAGGUGUAGCGGUGAAAUGCGUAGAUAUCUGGAGGAACACCGGUGGCGAAGGCGGCAUCCUGGACCGGCAUUGACGCUGAGGCGCGGAAA
RNAcentral lists this ribosomal RNA (239 nucleotides) under uncultured bacterium. Its description in RNAcentral is "partial 16S ribosomal RNA". It matches the Rfam family "Bacterial small subunit ribosomal RNA", at positions 524 to 759 of the family's 1533-position model. The record is from RNAcentral.